GGAAGUGUAGCUCAGUGGUACAGCAUCUGUCCUGCAUGCAGAAGCCCCUGGGUUCAAUCCCCAGCAUCUACA
Molecule: non-coding RNA, 72 nt
Organism: Podarcis lilfordi (Lilford's wall lizard)
Lineage: Eukaryota; Metazoa; Chordata; Lepidosauria; Squamata; Lacertidae
Source: the annotation of a GenBank genome assembly